UUGACUAUCCUUCACAAAUAAGUCUCUGUCUCUAUAUGUAUAUGAACAGAAAAUGAAUGUGGGAAUCAGCAUAUGGAUGGAACUUGAGUGUAAGCAUUCAUUGAACUCUGUUUAUCAUGAUUACAUACACAUGCCUUCAUCUGAAAGCGACUUUCCAGUCUAUAUGAUUGAUAUUUGUUCUCCAUAUUCUUUCUCUCUUCAAUUUCUCAUUGUUUACUGCCAUGGAUUGCCUAUACUUGACAUUGGGGGCACCGUGACCUACGCUUUUUCACUUGUUUGCUGAGGUUUACUGUGCAGACAUCUAUGCUUUUUGGUGCAUGUCUUAGGAUUAGUAGAAUGUUCGAGUGUCACUCUUGCUUCAGAGUUGCCUUGUGGAGUGUAUUGGAGCAUGUAUGUAGGGUUACAUGGUGUAACUUCCAUGCUGUAGUGUUGUAUUUGUAACUAUAUGUGAAAGAAAUUCAAGAAUCUGCAUAUCUAUCAUCAGUAACCAUGGUAGCUGUUAUGGGAGCACAUCGACAUUUCCUUGAAUCACCGUCUAUUGUUAAUAUUUGCUGUUUUGCAUAUUGGACAGGGCAUGAUAGUCUUUUACUCAUAUAAACGUUUAUCUCCACCUAUCCCAACCUUGGUUUUUUUCAUGGAGUAAAAUGUUUUUUAUCAACAUUGAACCUCAAUUAGCCGCAAUCCAGGACACAAGAUUUUCAUGAUAUGUGUAGUAUUGGUUUAACGGUUUGUGUUAGCCUUUUAGAAACAGUUCCAGAUACUUGAUAGGAUUGUCUCUUAGGGUGUUUUAGAGAAAGAAUUUCUGCAAAGAAGUCUGCGGACAAUAAGACAGAUUUAAAAUCUGGCUAAUUGUGUUUUUCGGAGUGUUCAGUGAAAAGGCAUAAUGAGCAGUAUGUUUGGGCUAAGUGCUUAUCUGUGUGGUUCUAUAUUGCUAGAAACCAAAUUAAGCUAUCUAUUUCGAGUAUUAGCUUUGUAUAGUAACCUCAAGAGCGAGGAAGGCAAAACAUGAUUGUUUAUCUCCGUUUGCAUACUUCAAAUUGUUCGGUGUCGGGUGAUGAUGUAUUGAGAUAGUACAUAAUGCUUUGAAGUUCUCAUUGCCAUUCACGUUUGAUAUUAGAGACAGU
RNAcentral lists this long non-coding RNA (1124 nucleotides) under Salvia miltiorrhiza (redroot sage). Its description in RNAcentral is "long non-coding RNA (SMIL_LNC005073)". The record is from RNAcentral. Lineage: Eukaryota; Viridiplantae; Streptophyta; Magnoliopsida; Lamiales; Lamiaceae.